Oncorhynchus tshawytscha (Chinook salmon) is the source of this 1049-nucleotide long non-coding RNA. NCBI's taxonomy places the organism in Eukaryota, Metazoa, Chordata, Actinopteri, Salmoniformes, Salmonidae. The record is from Ensembl.
CCUUUUUAAAGCCCCCUCCCUGACUCCCCCGUGGAGUUCAUGGCCUCCUAUUAUUUAGCAGAUUUGUUUUUGCAUCCUGGUUGAACCUUCUAGUUUGAGAGGAAAAAAACUCUAUCGGGAUCAUAUAUGUGCCUUUGCAGGGACGCGGGGGGCAUAACCUAACAAAUGUGUGGGGUCAAUUGGUUUCCCAAGGGGACGCUACUGAGAAGCUGGCUCACCAAGUCCCGGCCCAGACUGCUGCUGCUCAUCGCGGGGUUGAAAAGGCCUCAGGUGACCCUCAUGCGGAGGAAAAGGAUGAAGCGCACGAAAGUAGCAAAGGCCACGUAAGCGAUCAUGCAUCGGCCACUUGGACACUGAAAAACUGGUCCAAGCUAUCAUUUUAUCUAGGCUGGACUACUGUAAAGUUAUCCUCACUGGCUCUCAUGAUGAAACCAUCAACAAACUAAGAACCUGCAAUCGAAUGCCGCAUUUCAGUUGAGGCUUUGGCAAAGAGGAUCUCCCCACCUGAGUUAGAUAUGAAAGACGAAGACAUGGAAGAACUACGUUUUGAAUCUUUGUCAAAGCAACGAACUAAAAGCCAAAGCAAACAGAAAAGGGGUUUAGCGUCUUUUGUGAAAACAAGGGACCUGCAACAUAGAUCUAGACCCCCUGAUUAAUCGAGAUCUUCUCCUACACGCCCAUUUGUAUAUCACUUCAAAUACAAAUUUGUUAUGGUUCAUUAUAGUACAAUGAGUGUGACUUGUACAUUAUUUACAUCCAGUGGCACACAUUUAGUUUAACAGAACUAUCGCUGUGUUCUUAGGAUAGAUCUUUUCCAGUCAGAGAAUGAUUUGUUUCACAUAAGCACAUUUGUGUUUGAGUGGGUGAAUAAGAAAAUAGUGCCACUCUGUGGCUAGCAGGUGCAAAUAUCUAAACCACAAGUAGGUACACAGCAUUAAUGCAACUCUGGGCCAAUGAAAGGGUCACCAUUAAUGCAACUCUGGGCCAAUGAAAGGGUCACCAUUAAUGCAACUCUGGGCCAAUGAAAGGGUCACCAUUAACAAUCUGAA